CUGGGAGACAAGGAGGAUUCUGGGAAAUGUAGGCAGAGCCAGAUACCAUGUAGGCAGUUGAGAUGUAGCACGCAGAGGAGUAACAGGUCCCUGGACUCUUUCUCCGAGCCAGCCAAGAAGGACAUGUCUCCUAAGAGACACAAAUCCUACUUUUAUUGGGCAAAGUCUGUGCCCAGUGACCUGAGGAGACAGUGAAGAGUCUCCAAAUCCACCCCUUCCCCCAGAAAGAGGGACUAAGGAAGGACUUUGGCAUCACCUGGCUUCUGGUAGGAGCGUAACACUGACCGAUUUCCGUCUCUGUCUUCAGCCUUCUCUCUGCCCUCCCCACAUCUUAGGGGAAUCACCAGUCCUACUGAGAGCCAUCUGAAAUCUAAGCUUUCAUUCCAAGCCUAGCUGCCCUGGACUGAAAUCUCACGUUCCUUCAACAUCUGCAUGCUGAAAACCAAAUCCCAGCUCGAUACUAUUAGGCGAUGGGAGAGCUUGGGAGGUGACUAAGUCAUGGGAGCGGACUCUCAUAGAUGAGAUUGGUAUCCCCCUAGGAGCCCCAGUAAGUCCCUUCCACCUUGUGCAAACUUAGCUCAAAAUACACCAUCUACCAGCCAUAGACUGAGCCUCACUAGACACCAACUCAGCCAGUGCUGGGCUCUGAUCGCCAACUUUUCCAGUCUCCAGAAUUGUCAGAGAUUACUUUUUAUGAGCCGCUCGAUUUAUGGUUAUUUUCAGACAGUAGCCCAAUUACACCAAGUCAGCCCUAUAUCCAAGCAUCUGAGCCUUAAAUCAAAAGCAAAUAUUGGGUGGGUGGGGGAGCCGUUCAACUGAUGACAAAUUUUAAAAUGAGGAAGUAAGGUAGACUGUCCAGGGAAGGGAUCACUAAAGAAUCCCUGUCUAUACAAACUUCACCAGAAAGCUUCUGGAGCUCUGAGUAAAUACCACAACAGGUCUAAGCUGCCUGAGAGAGAGAGUCCCUGAGAGAGGUAAAAGAGACAGAGACUCCACAUAAAGGGGGUGCUGUA
Mesocricetus auratus (golden hamster) is the source of this 1013-nucleotide long non-coding RNA. RefSeq lists it as uncharacterized. The record is from RefSeq and is a predicted model, not a curated record. NCBI's taxonomy places the organism in Eukaryota, Metazoa, Chordata, Mammalia, Rodentia, Cricetidae. The transcript has 3 exons.